Molecule: ribosomal RNA, 515 nt
Filed under: uncultured bacterium
Lineage: Bacteria
Description: bacterial SSU rRNA
Rfam family: Bacterial small subunit ribosomal RNA
Source: RNAcentral
GAUGAACGCUGGCGGCGUGCCUCAAACAUGCAAGUCGAGCGAGGCUAUGAAUUACCGCAAGGUAAGGCAUAGCCUAGCGGCGAACGGGUGAGUAACACGUGGGUAACCUACCUGGAAGACAGGGAUAACGAUUCGAAAGGGUCGCUAAUACCUGAUAAUAUCCGUCUGCCGGAUGGCGGAGGGAAGAAAGGGGAAACCCGCUUUCAGAUGGGCCCGCGUCCCAUCAGCUAGUUGGUAAGGUAAAGGCUUACCAAGGCGACGACGGGUAGCCGGUCUGAGAGGAUGUACGGCCACACUGGGACUGAGAUACGGCCCAGACUCCUACGGGAGGCAGCAGUUGGGAAUCUUAGGCAAUGGACGAAAGUCUGACCUAGCGACGCCGCGUGAGGGAAGAAGGCCUUCGGGUUGUAAACCUCUGUCGAGCGGGAAGAAAUGUACCAUGGCUAAUAUCCAUGAUAUUUGACGGUACCGCUAGAGGAAGCACCGGCUAACUCCGUGCCAGCAGCCGCGGUAAU